CGGCGUACGGGUGAGUAACGCGUGAGCAAUCUGUCCCGGAAAGAGGGAUAACACUUGGAAACAGGUGCUAAUACCACAUAAGACCACGCUACCGCAUGGUAGAGGGGUAAAAGGAGCAAUCCGAUCCGGGGUGAGCUCGCUUCUGAUUAGGUAGUUGGUGAGGUAACGGCUCACCAAGCCGACGAUCAGUAGGGGUUCUGAGAGGAAGGUCCCCCACAUUGGAACUGAGACACGGUCCAAACUCCUACGGGAGGCAGCAGUGAGGAAUAUUGGUCAAUGGGCGAGAGCCUGAACCAGCCAAGUCGCGUGAAGGAUGAAGGUUCUAUGGAUUGUAAACUUCUUUUGUUCGAGGGUAAAGUGAGUCACGUGUGAUUUAUUGCAAGUAUCGAACGAAUAAGCAUCGGCUAACUCCGUGCCAGCAGCCGCGGUAAUACGGAGGAUGCGAGCGUUAUCCGGAUUUAUUGGGUUUAAAGGGUGCGUAGGCGGGAUGUUAAGUCAGCGGUUAAAUAGUGUAGCUCAACUAUACUUCGCCGUUGAAACUGGCGUUCUUGAGUGUAAACGAGGUAGGCGGAAUGUGACGUGUAGCGGUGAAAAUGCUUAGAUAUGUCACAGAACCCCGAUUGCGAAGGCAGCUUACCAGGAUACAACUGACGCUGAGGCACGAAAGCGUGGGUAUCAAACAGGAUUAGAUACCCUGGUAGUCCACGCAGUAAACGAUGAAUACUAGCUGUUGGCGAUAUAAUGUCAGCGGUAAAGCGAAAGUGUUAAGUAUUCCACCUGGGGAGUACGCCGGCAACGGUGAAACUCAAAGGAAUUGACGGGGGCCCGCACAAGCGGAGGAACAUGUGGUUUAAUUCGAUGAUACGCGAGGAACCUUACCCGGGCUUGAAAGUUAGUGACAGACCCUAAAAGGGGUCCUUCCUUCGGGACACGAAACUAGGUGCUGCAUGGUUGUCGUCAGCUCGUGCCGUGAGGUGUCGGCUUAAGUGCCAUAACGAGCGCAACCCUUGUCGUUAGUUACCAGCGGGUAAUGCCGGGAACUCUAGCGAUACUGCUACUGUAAGGUAGAGGAAGGUGGGGAUGACGUCAAAUCAGCACGGCCCUUACGUCCGGGGCGACACACGUGGUACAAUGGUCGGUACAGAGGGUUGCUACCCUGUGAGGGGAUGCUAAUCUCAUAAAACCGGUCUCAGUUCGGACUGGAGUCUGCAACUCGACUCCACGAAGCUGGAUUCGCUAGUAAUCGCGCAUCAGCCAUGGCGCGGUGAAUACGUUCCCGGGC
This 1282-nucleotide ribosomal RNA is filed under the name uncultured bacterium. RNAcentral describes it as "bacterial SSU rRNA". It matches the Rfam family "Bacterial small subunit ribosomal RNA", at positions 96 to 1379 of the family's 1533-position model. The record is from RNAcentral.